CGACCGGCGCACGGGUGAGUAACACGUAUGGAACCUGCCCGCAGCAGGGGGAUAAGCGGAAGAAAUUCCGUCUAAUACCGCGUAACACCGCGGAGGGGCAUCCCUCGGCGGUUAAAGAUUCAUCGGCUGCGGAUGGCCAUGCGGCGCAUUAGCUAGUCGGCGGGGUAACGGCCCACCGAGGCGACGAUGCGUAGGGGUUCUGAGAGGAAGGUCCCCCACACUGGUACUGAGACACGGACCAGACUCCUACGGGAGGCAGCAG
RNAcentral lists this ribosomal RNA (262 nucleotides) under uncultured bacterium. RNAcentral describes it as "partial 16S ribosomal RNA". It matches the Rfam family "Bacterial small subunit ribosomal RNA", at positions 92 to 354 of the family's 1533-position model. The record is from RNAcentral.